UAAGGGGGGGGUAAAGACGGGGCCACCCCCCGCGGUAAUACCGGCGCCUCAAGGGGUAGUCGCUUUUAUUGGGCCUAAAACGUCCGUAGCCGGUUGGGUACUUUCGGGGGUAAAUCAACCAGCUUAACUGGUUGAAUUCUGCGAGGACGGCCAAACUUGGGACCGGGAAAGGUGUGGGGUACUCUCUGGGAAGGGGUAAAAUCCUGUCAUCCUGAGCGACCCCCCUGUUGCGAAGGCGCCACACUAGAACGGAUCCAACGGUCAGGGACAAAACCUAGGGGCCCAAACCGAAUUAAAUACCCGGGUAGUCCUAGGUGUAAACGCUGUGGACUUGAUGUUGGGGGUGCUCCGA
This 352-nucleotide ribosomal RNA is filed under the name uncultured archaeon. Its description in RNAcentral is "partial 16S ribosomal RNA". It matches the Rfam family "Archaeal small subunit ribosomal RNA", at positions 436 to 788 of the family's 1478-position model. The record is from RNAcentral.